RNAcentral lists this non-coding RNA (31 nucleotides) under Mus musculus (house mouse). Lineage: Eukaryota; Metazoa; Chordata; Mammalia; Rodentia; Muridae. The record is from RNAcentral.
UGGGAGAACUAAAAAAAGAAAGGUGCUGGGC